This is a long non-coding RNA of Branchiostoma floridae (Florida lancelet), 559 nucleotides long. RefSeq lists it as uncharacterized. The transcript is spliced from 3 exons. NCBI's taxonomy places the organism in Eukaryota, Metazoa, Chordata, Leptocardii, Amphioxiformes, Branchiostomatidae. The record is from RefSeq and is a predicted model, not a curated record.
UUGAGUCGGUCUCGGUCGGUCUAUAACUGCGUGACUGUGACAGCAUUAGCCAUUUACGCUCUGGUAUCCCAGCCUGUCUGCCCUGCAAAGAUGAAGACUCUCCUGCUCACAUUUGUUAUCGUGCUCCUGGUCGGGGAGGCUCUCAGCUGUCCCCCACAACCAACAGAAGCUCCAGACACCCAGUGUUGUGACCCAGACCCGUGUGAUUCUGCCACUUGUGCCGCGAACCCCGGCGCUACCUGCAAGGCUGACGACUGUGACAGCUGUACUGCAGUCUUCUACGACAGCGAUGACAACGUGGUUACUUGCUAAGAGGUGCGGGGCGCUGGUUUUGCAGGAGGAAAGAUCUGAAUGCUCUUCCGGAUGAGGCCAUACCAGUAUAGAUGCUACCUGCGGCCAAACCACAACAUACGUUCCAGUAUCCAAGUCUUUGUAAAAUGUUAGAAUCACCAGACAGUGUAAUCGCGAUAGAAGCUUUCCUAAUGUUUAAAGUGCUUAUGUCCCCAAAAUACAACAUUUUUUAGUCAGCUGUUAGCUAUAUCAAGGAGGCUAAAACCUC